RNAcentral lists this long non-coding RNA (216 nucleotides) under Elaeis guineensis (African oil palm). RNAcentral describes it as "long non-coding RNA (EGUI_LNC005874)". Lineage: Eukaryota; Viridiplantae; Streptophyta; Magnoliopsida; Arecales; Arecaceae. The record is from RNAcentral.
GCGGUGUAUGAAAAGGAAAGAGGACAACAUGCGGUAAUGGGGAGAUGAGAGUGGAUCUAAAUGAUAGAGAAAGAGGAGCAAUGGGAUGGCAUGCGAUAAUAGGCUUGAGCAACAGAGAGAUUCAUAGAGGAGAAAGGGUGGCAAUGUGCGGCGGUAGACCCUAAUGACGGAGAGGUAGGCAGAGGAAGAGGAGAUAGAAGGUAGCAUACGGUGGUG